This 301-nucleotide ribosomal RNA is filed under the name uncultured bacterium. Its description in RNAcentral is "partial 16S ribosomal RNA". It matches the Rfam family "Bacterial small subunit ribosomal RNA", at positions 509 to 809 of the family's 1533-position model. The record is from RNAcentral.
CAGCCGCCACGGUAAUACGAGGGGCGCAGGCGUUAUUCGGAUUGAUUGGGUGUAAAGGGUGUGCAGACGGCUUAUUAAGUCACUUGUUAAAUUCUUCGGCCUAACUGAAGGUCUGCAAGUGAUACUGAUGAGCUAGAGGGUGGAAGAGAGAAGUGGAAUUCUCGGAGUAGCGGUAAAAUGCGUAGAUCUCGAGAGGAACACCAAUGGCGAAGGCAGCUUCUUGGUCCAUUCCUGACGUUCAUACACGAAAGCGUGGGGAGCAAACGGGAUUAGAUACCCCCGUAGUCCCUGUCUCUUAUAA